GGCCUUCAGUGUUGCCCGUUCAUCUUGGUUGUUAAUGAACGUGGUGUCUGAGAAGGCACAAAACAAGCUUCCUAUUGCAGCUAUUUCUCCAUGGUAGGAGUUGUUCUCUGCCAGGGCUGCUGCAUGUGGGACAAUA
Small nucleolar RNA from Eublepharis macularius, 136 nucleotides. RefSeq annotates it as small nucleolar RNA SNORA13. The transcript has a single exon. The record is from RefSeq and is a predicted model, not a curated record. Lineage: Eukaryota; Metazoa; Chordata; Lepidosauria; Squamata; Eublepharidae.